RNAcentral lists this ribosomal RNA (397 nucleotides) under uncultured bacterium. RNAcentral's name for it is "partial 16S ribosomal RNA". It matches the Rfam family "Bacterial small subunit ribosomal RNA", at positions 523 to 918 of the family's 1533-position model. The record is from RNAcentral.
AUACGUAGGGGGCGAGCGUUGUCCGGAAUGAUUGGGCGUAAAGGGCGCGUAGGCGGCCCGGUAAGUCUGGAGUGAAAGUCCUGUUUUUAAGAUGGGAAUUGCUUUGGAUACUGUCGGGCUUGAGUGCAGGAGAGGUAAGUGGAAUUCCCAGUGUAGCGGUGAAAUGCGUAGAGAUUGGGAGGAACACCAGUGGCGAAGGCGACUUUCUUGACUGUAACUGAAGCUGAGUCGCGAAAGUGUGGGGAUCAAACCGGAUUCGAUACCCGGGGAUCCCACACUGUAAACGAUGAAUGCUAGGUGGACGGGGUAUCGACCCCUGCUGUGCCGUAGUCAACACAAUAAGCAUUCCGCCUGGGGAGUACGGCCGCAAGGUUGAAACUCAAAUGAAUUGGCGGGU